Molecule: long non-coding RNA, 1409 nt
Filed under: Gallus gallus (chicken)
Lineage: Eukaryota; Metazoa; Chordata; Aves; Galliformes; Phasianidae
Source: RNAcentral
UGAUGGUUCUCAGUAUCUUACACAACAUGCUGACAUCUCUGCUAAACCAAAGUUCAUAAGAAAGAGAAAUAACUUACUUUCCUAAGUUUUCAACAGGUCCCAGACAGGUUGAAAAACAGUAGUUGUAUGCUAUCACAAUGGAAGGAUAUAAUGACUGGAAGUCUAGUACAAGAACAGCGUUGCUGUAGAAGCGGGAUUCUGGCUCCAUUAUUAAGGGAACACAUUGAGGGGCUUUCAUUUGAGCUCGCUGCUGGAUACUGGGUGUCACAGGGAUAUAAUUCAUUGGCUUUGCAACACGCAGCAUCAUAGAUUCCACACGAUACUGGGAGCCUCUUGUUAAAACAUGUAAGAACUGAAUGCCAAAAAGUCUCGCCAUUUCACUUGUUCUGUCAAUCAAAUCCAGUUUUUGUAACAACUGGAGGUUCCCAUGGACCCGGCUAACAUAAUGAUCAACCAUUUUCCAUCUGUAGACAUCCGCCUUGUUAUCAAACCAGUCAGACAGGACUCGGAAAGUAAACAGAGGAAAACGUUGAUGAAGAACAUGAAAGCCCACAUUUUCAAAGGUGUAAUUCAUUAGAUUCACCUCAUUUCUCAUCAUUCUCCAAAUAUUUAAGAUAAUUCUCCCAACAAUAUUUAUUUCACUCAUUGUAUCCGACCCAUAUUCAUCCAGCUCAGCUGCGAAUCUGUUCUCUUUAUUAUCAUCUAAAGGCAUUAAAAGAAAAUAUAUUGAGACAAGUUAGAGUACAGUCAACAUUGUCUAUCUGCUCAUUAGAGGGGUCUACAAAAAUAAUACUGACUGUAAAAGAUCGCUAAAUAAAAUUUCUCCAAGUUUUUUCUACUCUUUCACAUCCCUCUGAAGAUAACUUUUUUGUUUCAUUGAAAUGGUGUCCACGGCAAUAUAUUCUCCAUAGUGAAUAUACUGGCUAAGUAACGUUGAUGUUACAUGAGAGCUAGCUGCAAGUUUAUCAGUGCAUAAUACACACAAGAAGAGUGACUUCAGCCCCAAAGAAUUUAUAACUCAAGGUUUUAGUUCUAGUGGUUUUACACAAUUGGAACCAAGUCACAGGAGAGAAAACUCAGCACUUUUUAUUCUGUGAAAGCAAAAACCUUACAGUGGGAGGAGGUACACGUAAAUUCUGGAUAGCACAAAUGGAGAGAGAAGGAAACAGGAAGGAACAAAUAUAGAGACAGAAGUAGCAAUCUGACUUUCUGUAACACAGUGGUGAUUACCCUAUAAGCAAGAUAAGCUUUUUCCAUCUUUUUUUUAAUACACUGAAAUAUUAGAACACAGGAGAAGACAGUCUCUGGUACACAUUCCUUGAAAAUGUCUUUCUUUCAGUAAACCUGAGGCUACAGGUUUGGUAUCCUUUCCUGAAAAAUCUAACAAAAGUGAGGAACUUAUAUUUCCC